CGAAAGCCAAAAAAAAAGCAAGCCUUCGUGUGCCUUCGGUCCGGCAAUUCUCCUUCGGCUUUGUAUUCACGUCUCGACAGAUGACGUGUCGCCAGAUUGGUGGUCGAAAAGUCAUUCGGGUUUUUCUUUUUUUACAUGUGUCGAGCAUUAGAAACAAGUGCAAAUAAAGCGUGCGUUCCUUGCGCCGUCAUUUCAAUUAUUUUCGUCGAACUGUGCAGUGCUAAGUUAAAAAUCUCUACCAUCUCUUACGCAUUUAAAAGAAAUUUCUGCCAAUCGAUGCAUUUAAACAGAAGUUUGCGCUCGACGAUCAGGAUUUCGACCAUACAACU
This is a long non-coding RNA of Drosophila miranda, 329 nucleotides long. RefSeq lists it as uncharacterized. The transcript has 2 exons. The record is from RefSeq and is a predicted model, not a curated record. NCBI's taxonomy places the organism in Eukaryota, Metazoa, Arthropoda, Insecta, Diptera, Drosophilidae.